Molecule: long non-coding RNA, 454 nt
Filed under: Anser brachyrhynchus (Pink-footed goose)
Lineage: Eukaryota; Metazoa; Chordata; Aves; Anseriformes; Anatidae
Description: lncRNA (ENSABRG00000014627.1)
Source: RNAcentral
UUUUAUAGCAUAAAAGUUGCCUUUAAAAGCACUGUUCAUUGACAUGCCGGUACCAAACUGCUGUCCAAAUUUUAUGUACACCGAGUGCUUUAUUGAGCAACUGCCAGAGGUGGCAUGUGACUACAUGAACUGUCUGAGGAUUUGACAAGCAUGGGAAGUGAUCCUCCAGUGGCCAUUGUGGGUGAGUGAGAGCUGCAGUAAAUCACCAGAGCAGCAAGCAGAAGAAAGACUAGCCGUGGCGUAGGAACUGUCCAUGUUUCCAACGCAUUUCACCCGACCGGGCUGCAGGAGGACUCCGGCUGCCAAUCUCUCUCAACCCCACUGCUCAUAUGGACAGUCUUGCACUCAGAGGGUCCAUUAUGCAAUAAAUCCUGCCGACAGCAGAGCUCAUCCAUGGUGUGGUCCUCCUCCAUGCCCCUGGUCCCCUCCGCCCACUGCAAAUGGUUAUUACUGA